This 2937-nucleotide long non-coding RNA is filed under the name Linum usitatissimum (flax). RNAcentral describes it as "long non-coding RNA (LUSI_LNC004838)". The record is from RNAcentral. Lineage: Eukaryota; Viridiplantae; Streptophyta; Magnoliopsida; Malpighiales; Linaceae.
GCCCGAGUCAUUGGAUUGCUGAACGGAUCCAAUUUGAAGCAAUAAAGCGCGGCCAUAGCAGGCGCCAGAAACCGCGACUCAGCGAAUAUCUCAGACUUCCUGAACCAGCGGCAGCUAGAGAGAGAUUGUAAAACCUAUUUCUUGGAGAAGGGGUUUUGUGAUUCUUCGUCGUCCUGUGAAUCCAAUAUAUAAGCAGUCGCAGUAGCAGCAGUAGCAGCAGCAGCUAAAACACGAAACCCAGAAGCAGAAAGAUGGAGAAGGCGGUGGCUGUGUGCGGAGAAAAAGCGCUGGAUCUGCUCAACUGGGUCGCUCAUUCGCCCUACGAUCAGGACAAAUGUGUCCGUCUCUUGCAGGCUUUGCGAGAUUGUGUCGACAGUAAGGUAGUGAUACAAAAUCCCAAUUGGUCCUCCUGUUCGUGAUUUCUCGUCAGUUUCUAUAUGAUUGCAAAGUGGGUUCCCUGCUUUUCUGCAGAAUUUGUGACCUUGGGGGCCGUGGCCUAGUGAGUUGUGUGUAUGAGGCCGAUUUUGAAUCUUGAUUGAAUUUGAGGGAUUUUGAAUAUUGUUUGAGUUUUGAGUUCUCUUUUUUUAAUAAAGUUCAUUUCUUAAGUUAAAUGUAGAUUGGCUGCACAUGAGGGAAAUGAGGUAAGCUUGAUUGAAUCCAGGGGAUUUUUGAAUCUUAUUUUGAGUUCCUUUUUAUUGCUAGAGUUUAAUAGGAAUUAUAGGAACGAACGCCAUUAGGCUCAGUUUGUGGUAUGAUAAUUGACUGGUCAUAGUUCAAAAUCUGAUAGUACAAGCGAGCAAUUGAGAUGAAUGGUUUGUAUUUUAUUAAUUUCACUAGAUGAUUAGAGUUUUGUCUGCAACAGUAGAGCCACAUUUUGAAUCCCAGUUGGGAAGAAUGAAAGAAUGCAGAUUUCUGGUUGAUGUUGGACCUCUGUUCUCACUUCCCUGUCAUUGUUCCUUGUUUCUUCUAAUCUCAAUGUAAAACGUUUUCGAUUGUGUUUAAGAUGGUUCUCUAAUUCGUUGUGUAACAAGGUGGCUAAUUUGAUCGAGACUGGUUCGGCAAGUGGAAAGUGGAAUGAAAUUUUGAACAUUCUCAUGUUCAAUGUAUCCACCUUGGUUGGUGCUCCAACACCAAGCAAAGGUAGUCGUUGGAAACAUUUUGAAAGGUCAGUGAACCAUGAGCAACCCACAAGGGCCAUAAAGUGUGAGUUUUGGAACCCUAGAGUCGCCACCAUGUCCAUUGCAAAUCUUAGGAGGGCAUAACAUGCAUUGAUCCCCAAUGUGGGUACACAGCACAAUAACUCGGUCUUCGCCGUCACCGUAGGCAUAACAUCGCCAAAGAGAUGACAGUUCAAUGCUCAAGAAGUUGGAUCCGACCAAGUGAUUUUGUGGAGCUAAAGUUUUGAUGAGGUAGAGAAAAGACAAGCCACCAAACAAGAUGAUAUCAUUAACAUCAGCCACAACAUCCAUCCCACCACCACAUUCCUUCUUCACCAACACAAAAGAAACCCAACAAUAAAUAACAGCAUUCAAACCCGAAGAUCCCCCCUUAAAUACAGAAGACCCCUAAGGUUCUACAUAGCAUCAUCAACCCAGCUCUCCAUUAACCAAAAACAAACAACGCUGACCAAGUACAAAUCGUCAGAAACAAAGAUUCAAAUGUCUGCUGCGUGAAUCAAAUAAGUCAAUACCAAAGCCAACAGCAUCAACACAUACGCAAUCCCUUGGUCAAUCGACGUCCCUGCAAAAGCACAUUGUGAAAAUCCGGUAUUAAAAAAUCGAUCUUUACGAGAAACCCAUCUCAGAUCUGGAAAAAAAACUGACCAUCGCUGGUGGGUGCAGGAGCAGGAGCCGUGAUCUGGGCCUGAACUGCAGCAGGCAAGGCAAUGGCGAAGAUUAGGAAGACGGCAAUAGCUCCCACGCCCAUUCUUGAAACUGCCAUUUUUUAUUUUCUUUCUGUCCGGAGUUUUCUUAGUCUCUCUCUCUCUCUGCAGACGGGAUUGAUAAAUUGGUGAGUCACUCUUUCUUCAGAUUUCUCCUCCCGACAAAGAGGAGAAAUCGAAGAGAGAGGCCGCAGAGAGGCCGACGAAAGGGGGUUCCUCCUGAAACGAAGCCAAAUCCAACGGAUGCGUUUGCCUUUUUGGAUGAAGAAGAAGGAGUCGGGUUCGUUCUUCUGGGUUGACGAUUUUAUACAGAUCUCUUUCUCUACUGAAUUGGCCGAUGUGGCGAUAAAAGCGGGUGUUUUUUUUUUGGGGAGACGUACGUAAUUAACAAACUCCAACUGGAACAGUUGGAUUUGAAUAAUCCGGGGAUGUUCUUGUUUCUGUGUGCGAUUAUGCGAUAAUGGACAGGAGAACAUUGUGGGCCCCGCGACCAUGUUACUGCCCAUGUGACCGUCCGGCCACCCUGCUUGGUUGGUGCUUACCGACCGUCGAGUUCAUAUCACACAUACAUAUCCUUUGUUAGAAGAUAUGGAGGUUGCAUGACAAAAUUUGCUAUCAUAAGUGAGAACGUAGGUGGGUCUUUCGUGGAGUAGGGUAGUUGUUUGCGUAUGUUGAUAAUUGAUUUGAUGUUGUCUUGUUUAUUUUCGAUAAGAAAUAUUUUGUUAGAAGAUAUUGAGGGUGCAUGACAACAUUUGCUAUUAGAAAGUCGGUGGUUAUCUCGUGGAGUACCGUAGUUAUUUGCGUUGUAUGUUGCCGAUCUGAUGUAUAUUUUGUUUAUCUUCAGCAAAACGAAACUGUCAUGUGGGUCGACCUGUGGUGGCAGAUAUAAGGGCUACAUUAGGCCACAACUCAUCCCAUUUUCGGAUCUAGAACUUCGAUAGUAUGUAAUUUUUCUUAUAUUCAAAGUUAGCUACUGUACUUUCUAUAAACAGUCCAAUGUAUUUCAAUUUCUGUACAAUUUGGCCUAAUACAUAUGCUAUUUUUGGCAAUUAGAA